GGUGGGCUAUUUUUUCCCUUCCAUACAAGGACAAAUUUUUUGAUAAACGUGAUUGAGAGAGAGAGAGAGAGAGAGAGAGAAAAGAUUGAAGGGUUUUUGUAUUACAUAACAUUUAGUUGAUUUAAUUUACAGUGAGCAAAGCAUAGAAAUUGAAUUGAAGAAGUAUAGUUGUAGAAAAGUAGAGAGAGUGUUGUUACUCUUUACACACACAAACACAAUACACAAACAUGUUUGAUGGAGUCCCUGACCAGUUCCACCAAUUCAUAACUCCAAGAACCUCAUCACUACCUCUUCACUUACCUUUUCCUCUUUCUUCAACUCCAAAUAAUACAACUUUUCCUACUUUUGAUCCUUAUAACCAACAAAACCACCCUUCUCAUCAUCAUCAAAUACCACUCCAAGUUCAACCCAAUCUCUUGCACCCAUUACACCACCAAAAAGAUGAAGACAAACAAGAAAACACUAGUGUUACUACUCCUUCUAUGAACUUCCAAAUUGAAAGAGAUCAUAGACAAAUUCUUCCACAACUCGUUGAUCCUUGGACUAAUGACGAAAUUCUUACACUUUUGAAGAUCAGAUCCAACAUGGAAAGUUGGUUCCCAGAUUUCACUUGGGAACACGUCUCAAGGAAGCUAGCAGAGGUUGGAUAUAAACGUAGUGCAGAUAAAUGCAAGGAGAAGUUUGAAGAAGAAAGUAGAUUUUUCAACAACAUUAAUAUUAAUAAUAAUAAUAAUAACAACAAUAAUAAUAAUAAUAAUAAUUACGGUAAGAGUUAUCGGUUUGUUACUGAACUUGAAGAGCUUUAUAAUAAUAAUAAUAAUAAUAAUAAUAAUCAAGUUGUUGAGAGUGAAAAGCCAAGUGAAGGAAAAGACAAGAUGGACCAUGAUGAAGAUUCAAGAAACGACGAUUUAUUGGUGACAAAGAAAAAAGAAGAGAGUGUGACAAAUGAAGAGAGGAAGAGAAAGAGAGGUGAAAAUAGGUUUGAAGUUUUUAAGGGUUUUUGUGAGAGUGUUGUGAAGAAAAUGAUAGAACAACAAGAAGAGAUGCACAACAAGCUUAUUGAAGAUAUGUUAAAAAGAGAUGAAGAGAAGUUUGAAAGAGAAGAAGCUUGGAAGAAACAAGAGAUGGAGAAAAUGAACAAAGAGCUUGAGUUGAUGGCACGUGAGCAAGCUAUUGCUGGUGAUAGACAAGCUAAUAUUAUUGAAUUUUUGAACAAAUUCUCAACUACUAAGGUAACAACAUUAUUAAAUUCUUCCAUAAUAUUGCACUCUCAAAACCCUAAUAUUCCUUCUUCUAUUGACAAAACUAUUCAACCAACACCUUCUUUUGAAAACCCUAGCUCAAACCUUCCUUCUAAGAAAAACCCUAAUAUUUCUUCUCUAGAUAGUGUUCCACUUGUUAAAAAUUCAAGAUCUUCAUAUAGUAAUCUUAUUAUCAAUGAGAAAGAGGAUAUUGGGAGAAGAUGGCCAAAAGAUGAAGUGUUGGCAUUGAUAAACUUGAGGUGCAAUAAUAAUAAUAACAACAAUGAAGAAAAGGAAGGGAAUAAGGCUCCUUUGUGGGAGAGAAUAUCACAAGGAAUGUUGGAGUUAGGGUACAAGAGAAGUGCAAAGAGGUGCAAAGAGAAAUGGGAGAACAUAAACAAGUACUUUAGAAAAACUAAGGAUGCUAAUAGGAAAAGGUCACUUGACUCAAGAACUUGUCCUUACUUUCAUCUAUUGAGCAAUCUUUAUAACCAAGGGAAGCUUGUUCUACAAUCUGAUCAAAACCAAGAAAGUAAUUUGAAUGUGCAAGAAAAUAUUCAAGACCAAAUUGAAGUAGCUCCAGCAGAUGAAAACAAAGGUGGUGAGUCUUCUCAAGUGGGGCCUGCAUGCUGGUAAUUAAUUUCAUCACCAUUAUGGAGAAUUUGGUGAGCACCGACAGCUAGAGGAAUGAGAACAAUAUUAUUUACAAUGUGGAAGUGGAAGACAUUGACCCUGCAAAAAAUAAAGGAAGGGAAAACAAGACAUUCUUUAGGACAUUCUCCACUUUACUAUAGUAAGGGAGUGGAACUAAUAGUAAAAAAGGUUAGAGGAAUUUUCAGUGUCUUUUUCUUUCAAUUACAAAGGGAAAACAAGUUGAAGUUUAAGCAAGCUAAAGUCCCGCCUAAAUUGAUUUUUU
This is an RNA transcript of Cicer arietinum (chickpea), 2157 nucleotides long. It is a transcript of the gene named trihelix transcription factor GTL2-like, with no coding region annotated. Lineage: Eukaryota; Viridiplantae; Streptophyta; Magnoliopsida; Fabales; Fabaceae. The record is from RefSeq and is a predicted model, not a curated record.